RNAcentral lists this ribosomal RNA (435 nucleotides) under uncultured bacterium. RNAcentral describes it as "bacterial SSU rRNA". It matches the Rfam family "Bacterial small subunit ribosomal RNA", at positions 347 to 774 of the family's 1533-position model. The record is from RNAcentral.
AGCAGCAGUGGCGAAUAUUGGACAAUGGGCGCAAGCCUGAUCCAGCCAUGCCGCGUGUGUGAAGAAGGCCUUCGGGUUGUAAAGCUCUUUUAUCAGGAAAGAAAUCGUGUCGGUUAAUACCCGGCGUGGAUGACGGUACCUGACGAAUAAGCACCGGCUAACUUCGUGCCAGCAGCCGCGGUAAUACGUAGGGUGCGAGCGUUAAUCGGAAUUACUGGGCGUAAAGGGUGCGUAGGCGGCCUGGUAAGUCAGAUGUGAAAGCCCUGGGCUCAACCUGGGAAUGGCAUUUGAGACUGGGAGGCUGGAGUGCGGUAGAGGGUGGUGGAAUUCCUGGUGUAGCGGUGAAAUGCGUAGAUAUCGGGAGGAACAUCCAUGGCGAAGGCAGCCACCUGGACCAGCACUGACGCUGAGGCACGAAAGCGUGGGGAGCAAACA